This 1380-nucleotide long non-coding RNA is filed under the name Triticum aestivum (bread wheat). RNAcentral's name for it is "long non-coding RNA (TAES_LNC008369)". The record is from RNAcentral. Lineage: Eukaryota; Viridiplantae; Streptophyta; Magnoliopsida; Poales; Poaceae.
CAAGUAUGGAGCAGAUUGAACACCCUCAGAAACAGUCAACUACAGCUCACGCUUCCACUUCGCAUCAGUCAGUCUGCAUUUGAUGGACCUGGAGGUUUCUCCCUGGGAUGCUUUGAUCCAUAGUGAUCUAUCAACUGCCUCUCGUUAGCCUGUUGUGCCUGCACACAUAGAAGAUGUUACAUUAGGUUGACACUGCAUCAAUCAUGAGGAACAUGUAUCCAUGUAAAGCUAACUAUACACUAGUAUAUACGGUUAUGCUUGCACACAGUUUUCAACUUGAUUCACAUCAACAUGAACCCAAGCAAAAUAUUCCACGAAUUUCUUCAUGAAAUCCAGACCAUGUGACCAUGUCUAAAAAAGAAAUCAUAUGUAACUCAGCAAGCAUAUGCCAGCACAGUUGCAUCCUAACAAUGAUCAUAUGGUACAUAAAAACAGAAGCCCAGAGCCGAGACCUAAGCAAAGAUGGCAAUUGGACGCCCUAAGUAGUUAAUAUUGAUAAUACUUCAUGGGCAGCCCCAGUGCAUGUAGCUCCCGCUUGCGCAGGGUCUGGGGAAGGGUCCGACCACUUUGGGUCUAUUGUACGCAGCCUUUCCCUACAUUUCUGCAAGAGGCUGUUUCCAGGACUUGAUAAUACUUCAUGCCACAAAAGAAUUUAUCUGGCAAUGAUUCAUAUCAAAGAGAUGAUAUAGAACUAACUGAGUGUGCACACACAUGAACUCAAGCAUAAUAUUGCAUGGCUUUCUUUAUAAAAUUUAGACUAUAUGACGCAUCUCGGAAAGCAUAUGCUAAUGCAGUCGCUUGGUGGCAAUCUAUGACCAAGUUCACUUACAUAUAUUCUCCCUCCGUCCCAAAAUAAGUGUCUGUACUUGUACAUCAUGAUAGUGCAGUGGCAACCGCAAAAACUCAGUAAGAAUUUCAUAAAGAAGAAAGCGGACAGAAAUAAAGAGGCACUCCUUUGGUGAAAGAAGGUGCCUUAACAUAUGCUCAUCUGGAUCUCUCCUCUUGACCAGAGGCUGGCCCAAGGAUGCUGCCGGUGCAUUCAUGGAGAGUCACACCUGACAGCAAUCGCAGCGACGGGGAGAACCCCGUUAGAGCAACCUGCGAAAAACAAAAUUGCAACCCUUGUACAACAACGAAUAGUAGAGCAAGCAAACGACAUCCCAUAAACAAAUAAAAGAAGCAAUUUUGAAAAUAAAAGUCUGCAACGAUCCACAUGGAGAAGCAAUUUGUCCGAUGAGAAUAACCAGGGGAUCCACCAGCCGGAGCAGCCUAAAUCGCAGGGGGGAAACAAAAAGGGGUUGGGGAAAGAUGAGCUACCACAUCGAAAAGUUCAUCCUUUGAUGGGGGUAACCGCGAGUGUGGACGAGACCGAGAUUUGCU